Non-coding RNA from Acomys russatus (golden spiny mouse), 1498 nucleotides. Lineage: Eukaryota; Metazoa; Chordata; Mammalia; Rodentia; Muridae. The record is from the annotation of a RefSeq genome assembly.
AUGGAAUGGAGCUGGAUCAUCCUCUUCAUAUUUUCUGUGACUACAGGUGUCCACUCCCAGGUUCAGCUGCAGCAGUCUGGGGCUGAGCUGAGGAGACCUGGGUCCUCAGUGAAGUUGUUCUGCAAGGCUUCUGGCUACACCUUCACUGACUACUAUAUGCACUGGGUGAAGCAGAGUCCUGGACAAGGCACGGAAUGGAUUGGAUGGAAUAAUCCUUCAAGUGGUGGUACUAGUUACAAUCAGAAGUUCAAGGGAAAGGCCACACUGACUGCAGAUACAUAAUCUAGCACAGCCUACAUGGAGCUCAGCAGCCUGACAUCUGAGGACUCUGCUGUCUAUUACUGUGCAAGACACACAUCAGGGACUGUGUCCCUGUGCAAUGUUUUUGAUGUCUGGGGCCAGGGGACCCAGAUCACCGUCUCCUCAGCUGAAACAACAGCCCCACAUGUCUACCCACUGGCCCCUGGCCAUGAUGGCAUGACUGGCUCCACAGUCACCCUGGGAUGCCUGGUCAAGGGCUAUUUCCCUGAGCCAGCAACUGUAACCUGGAACUCCGGAGCUCUGACCAGCGGUGUACACAUCUUCCCGUCCGUCCUGCAGUCUGGCCUCUACUCUCUCAGCAGCUCAGUGACUGUACCUUCCAGCACCUGGCCCAGCAAGCCAGUCAUCUGCAAUGUAGACCACCCGGCCAGCAGCACCAAGGUGGACAAGCCAAUUGUGCCCCAAGGAGCCAAUUGCAAGCCAUGCAUAUGUACAGUCCCAGAAGUAUCAUCUGUGUUCAUCUUCCCCCCAAAGCCCAAGGACGUGCUCACCAUCUCUCUGACCCCCAAAGUCACAUGUGUUGUGGUGGACAUUAGCCAAGACGAUCCCGAGGUCCAGAUCAGCUGGUUUGUGGAUGACGUGCAAGUGAACACAGCUCAGACUCAACCCCGGGAGGAGCAAUUCAACAGCACCUUCCGUGUAGUCAGUGUCCUCCCCAUCCAGCACCAGGACUGGCUGAAUGGCAAGAAGUUCAAAUGCAGGGUCAGCAGUGCAGCGUUCGCCUCCCCCAUCGAGAAAACCAUCUUCAAAAGCACAGGACAACCCCGGGUUCCACAGGUGUACGUCUUACCCCCACCCAAGGAGCAGAUGGCCAAGAGUGAUGUCAGUCUUACCUGCAUGAUAAUGGGCUUCUCCCCUGGAGAAAUCCAUGUGGAGUGGCAGAGGAACGGGGAGACAGAGAGGAACUUCAAGAACACGGAGCCUGUUUUGGACAGCGAUGAGACUUACUUCCUCUACAGCAAGCUCAAUGUAAAGAAGGACGAUUGGGAGAAGGCAGAGUACAGCUGUUCUGUCUUUCACGAGGCCCUGCCCAACCACCACACGGAGAAGAGUAUCUCCCACUCUCGUGGUAAAUGAACCCAGUGUCCUGUGAGCCCGCUGGUCCUAAGGGACUCUGACACCUACCUCCACCCUUCCCUGUGUAAAUAAAGCACCCAGCACUGCCCUGGGACCCUGC